This 1026-nucleotide long non-coding RNA is filed under the name Olea europaea subsp. europaea. Lineage: Eukaryota; Viridiplantae; Streptophyta; Magnoliopsida; Lamiales; Oleaceae. The record is from RNAcentral.
CACACCUCCACACUUGUAUACACGCAGACACAGGUAAGUUGAUUUAUAGAUUUCCAUCAAUGUACUUAUAUCAAUGGAUCCAUUUGUGUUCUGUGGUUUUUUACAAAGCUGCAUCUUUCGGCAACCUACUCAUAUUUCUUUUGACAGGAAGGUAUAUUUAGAAUACGAAGAUUUCUUCUUCUUAUCAUUAUUUGAAUACAUAAUUGUGUUAAAAUGAAGCAAAGAUUUGAAUCCGAAAAAAGAAAUGAUAGUUUUGAAUGGGUGAUGUCGUCGGUCACUACUGUCUGAGGAUGACUGGGAUUUCAAAGUGUUUCUGUUUUCAUUAUAUCAUUUGUGAAACUGAGCAUUUUGAAUGAGAAUUUAAGUUGCAAGACUGGACAUGCUUUUCGUUAUGCCAUGCUAUUACUUUUAUUACAUGUAAUGGGGAAAGGAAAGUACUAGUACAUUUGCUCGUGUCAUUGAUACCAUAUAAAAAGGAAAAUAUGUCUAUUUGAGGGUAGAUUAGCUCAAUCAGGGUCCUGAAUAAAUAGUUAUUUCUGCUGCUAAAACCGCAUCAUGCAUUGUCCGAAAAUGUAAAUUCAUUUUCAAUAUCACAUUGUUAUAGGAGUACCCAUUAUGCCGCCAUAAGUACAAAGGAAGAGUAUUUUCAAAAUUCUGGGACUGAUUACGGUUAGAUUGAAGUUGCAAUUAUUAAUCUCUAUUCAUACUUGUGCAGGUAUAGGAGUCUUAUUGAGCGAGCUAUGCAAGCACGACUUGUCUAUGGAAGCUCUAAUAUGAAUCCAGCUGUUAGCUUUGAAUAUAUGAACUGCCAGUUGGCGUGGAAUGAAUUUUCGGUAAAUUUCCUCUUUGCUUAAAAUGAAGUAGUUGAUUGUUGGAAAAUUUUCUUAAUUGCAAGAUGAAGCCUUGUUGCUGCCAAAGUAAGAUGCUGAAAGCAUCUUUUAAGCUUAUUCAAACAUGCUCACAAUAUUAAGUUGAAGUGUGGUUUCGCCUUUUUCCGUUUCCUUUCUCUUUUUAGGUUUCGACCCC